This 253-nucleotide ribosomal RNA is filed under the name uncultured bacterium. Its description in RNAcentral is "partial 16S ribosomal RNA". It matches the Rfam family "Bacterial small subunit ribosomal RNA", at positions 524 to 776 of the family's 1533-position model. The record is from RNAcentral.
UACGUAGGCAGCAAGCGUUGUUCGGAAUUACUGGGCGUAAAGAGUGUGUAGGCGGUGCUCCAAGUCUGGUGUGAAAUCUCCCGGCUUAACUGGGAGGGUGCAUUAGAAACUGGAAUGCUAGAGGAUGGGAGAGGUAAGCGGAAUUCCUGGUGUAGCGGUGAAAUGCGUAGAUAUCAGGAGGAACACCUGUGGUGUAGACAGCUUACUGGACCAUUUCUGACGCUGAGACACGAAAGCGUGGGCAGCAAACAGG